CGGGCCGGGCGGCCGGGAGGGCGUUCCUCUGUCCUACGCUGCGGCCCUGCAGCCUCCAGCCCGGAGGAGGGCUCCAGGCCCGGGGCCCGAGCCCGCAUUCGCGUCGCGGCGCGGGAGCAGACCCCUAACGUCAGACUGCGGGUCAAAGGACCUCGGGCCGCCGGCGCCUGGGCCUGCGCCGCAGAGGGCUGGCGGGAGCGGCCGCGGUUGCCCGAGGCGAAGAAGCCGGGCCAUGGGGGAGAGGCCCGUGUCUCCGAGUGCUGUGCUGGGGGCUGACGCUAGCUCAAGCCGGCCUGGAGUCCCCCGGAGACCGGGGUCUCAGGCGGGCACCCAACCGUCCUCUGCCGCACCGCCGAACCCAUAGCCUUGCCUGGGGACAGGAGGCCUGGCUGUGAGCAGCCCGGCUGGCCCUUCCGCUCCAGGUCGGCUGCGUCUCCGUGGAACUCGGGCUGCUGCUCUGGCCCUUUCUGCCCCCGCAGCCGUGCUGAAGGCCGAGCAGGCGGCGGUGUUUAAGUUCCCGCUGGCGCCGCUCGGUUGCUCCGGGCUGGGCUCGGCGCUGCUGGCUGCGGGGCCCGGACUGCCCGGUGCCGCGGGCGCGCCGCACCUGCCGCUGGAGCUGCAGCUGCGCGGGAAGCUGGAGGCGCCGGGCACUGGGGAGCCGGGCACCAAGGCCAAGAAGGGGCGUCGGAGCCGCACGGUGUUCACCGAGCUGCAGCUGAUGGGCCUAGAGAAGCGCUUCGAGAAGCAGAAGUACCUCUCCACACCCGACAGAAUAGAUCUCGCGGAGUCCCUGGGCCUGAGCCAGUUACAGGUGAAGACGUGGUACCAGAACCGGCGGAUGAAGUGGAAGAAAAUAGUGCUGCAGGGUGGCGGCCUGGAGUCUCCCACCAAGCCCAAGGGGCGGCCCAAGAAGAACUCCAUCCCCACAAGCGAGCAGCUCACGGAGCAGGAGCGCGCCAAGGAGGCGGAGAAGUCGGCGGAGGCGCCAGGCGAGGCCAGCGACAGGAGCCGCGAGGACUGAGCGCGGCAAGGGGUGCGGCCCGGGACCCUCGCGCCGCCGGUGGCCCCCUCAGCCCGCGGGAAGCCGCGAGCCGGCCCUUCUGCACCCACGCCGUUUGCUUUCUAAACGUUUUAUUAUCUUGAAUGCGGACAGUUAGGGGCCAAACAAGGAAGGACACAGACCCUGAAGCCAAACCCCGGCCCCGGUGCGCUCCGGGCCCUGGCCUGGAGACUGGCGUCUGGCGCUGCGGAGGGUCGCCUCUAGUCGGAGCUCCGCGGCGCCGGGCGCCCCACGCGCAUUCACGCCCCGCUCCUCUCCCGCACCCCCACCCGCCUCGGCCGGUUCCGGACGCCGCCGGGCGCACUCCCGCUUCCGCGCGUCAGGGACCCCGCUGCUGGAGCAGGCCACCACGGCCGGCCAGAGACGGCGCCCGGACAGCCCGGCGCUCGGCCCUGCAGCUGGGUUCCCGACGUCGCUGGGGCCCCUACCCCUCUCUUGCGAAGACGGUGAUCUUUUUUCCAAUAAAAUAUUUUAUGACACCGCGGGG
This is a long non-coding RNA of Equus caballus (horse), 1547 nucleotides long. NCBI's taxonomy places the organism in Eukaryota, Metazoa, Chordata, Mammalia, Perissodactyla, Equidae. The record is from Ensembl.